GGAGGAAUGGCAGAGUGGUCGAUUGCGGCAGUCUUGAAAACUGUUGACUGUAACAGGUCCCGGGGUUCGAAUCCCUGUUCCUCCG
Chryseobacterium koreense is the source of this 85-nucleotide transfer RNA. It matches the Rfam family "tRNA". Rfam says of the family: Transfer RNA (tRNA) molecules are approximately 80 nucleotides in length. Their secondary structure includes four short double-helical elements and three loops (D, anti-codon, and T loops). The record is from Rfam. Lineage: Bacteria; Pseudomonadati; Bacteroidota; Flavobacteriia; Flavobacteriales; Weeksellaceae.